AAUCUUCCGCAAUGGACGCAAGUCUGACGGAGCAACGCCGCGUGAGUGAUGAAGGUUUUCGGAUCGUAAAACUCUGUUGUUGGGGAAGAACAAGUACCGUUCGAAUAGGUCGGUACCGUGACGGUACCUAACCAGACAGCCACGGCUAACUUCGUGCCAGCCUCCCCCGUAAUACGUAGGUGGCAAGCGUUAUCCGGAAUUAUAGGGCGUAAAGCGCGCGCAGGGGGUUUCUUAAGUCUGAUGAGAAAGCCCACGGCUCAACCGUGGAGGGUCAUUGGAAACUGGGGAACUUGAGUGCAGAAGAGGAGAGUGGAAUUCCAUGUGUAGCGGUGAAAUGCGUAGAGAUAUGGAGGAACACCAGUGGCGAAGGCGACUCUCUGGUCUGCAACUGACGCUGAGGCGCGAAAGCGUGGGGAGCAAACA
This 423-nucleotide ribosomal RNA is filed under the name uncultured bacterium. RNAcentral's name for it is "partial 16S ribosomal RNA". It matches the Rfam family "Bacterial small subunit ribosomal RNA", at positions 360 to 774 of the family's 1533-position model. The record is from RNAcentral.